Molecule: transfer RNA, 90 nt
Filed under: Venturia inaequalis
Lineage: Eukaryota; Fungi; Ascomycota; Dothideomycetes; Venturiales; Venturiaceae
Description: tRNA-Pro
Source: RNAcentral
GGUCCUGUGGUCUAGUGGUAUGAUUCUCGCUUAGGGUUUACUCUAAGUUCUGUAUGCGAGAGGCCCCGCGUUCGAAUCGCGGCAGGACCC